GACGAACGCUGGCGGCGUGCCUAAUACAUGCAAGUCGAACGCAGUGGGGACGGGUGAGUAACACGUGGGUAACCUCCCAUCAGAGGGGAUAAACCUUGGAAACAGGUGCUAAACCGCUACUGAUGGAUGGACCCGCGGGGCAUUCGCUGGGUGGUGAGGUAACGGCUCACCAAGGCCACGAGGCAUAGCUGACCUGAGAGGUUGUACGGCCACACUGGGAAUGAGACACGGCCCAGACUCCUACGGGAGGCAGCAGUAGGGAAUCUGCGGCAAUGGACGAAAGUCUGACCGAGCAACGCCGCGUGAGUGAAGAAGGUUUUCGGAUCGUAAAACUCUGUUGUUAGAGAAGCGGUAUCUAACCAGAAAGCCACGGCUAACUACGUGCCAGCAGCCGCGGUAAUUC
This 403-nucleotide ribosomal RNA is filed under the name uncultured bacterium. RNAcentral's name for it is "partial 16S ribosomal RNA". It matches the Rfam family "Bacterial small subunit ribosomal RNA", at positions 28 to 526 of the family's 1533-position model. The record is from RNAcentral.